GACGAACGCUGGCGGCGUGCUUAACACAUGCAAGUCGAGCGGUGCGGCGGACGGGUGAGUAACGCGUGAGUAACUGCCCCCCUCUCUGGGAUAACAGUUGGAUACGGCUGCUAAUACCGGAUAGUGGGGGAUGACUCGCGGCCUAUCAGCUUGUUGGUUGGGUAGUGGCCUACCAAGGCGACGACGGGUAGCCGGCCUUAGAGAGCGACCGGCCACAUUGGGCUGAGAGACGGCCCAAAGGCCUACGGGGGGCAGCAGGGGGGAAUAGUGCACAAUGGUGGAAACCCUGAUGCAGAAACGCCGCGGGCGGGAUGACGGCCUUCGGGUUGUAAACCGCUUUCAGCCAUGACGCGGUAGUGGCAGAAGAAGCACCGGCUAACUACGUGCCAGCAGCCGCGGUAAUUC
This 405-nucleotide ribosomal RNA is filed under the name uncultured bacterium. RNAcentral's name for it is "partial 16S ribosomal RNA". It matches the Rfam family "Bacterial small subunit ribosomal RNA", at positions 28 to 526 of the family's 1533-position model. The record is from RNAcentral.